AUGGCAUCACUGCCUCCCCUGCUCUGCCUCGUGGUGCUCUGGGUCCAGGGCUCCUCCGGGCAGAUUGUGCAGACUCAGACCCCAGAGUCCCUGGUGGUGUCUCCAGGAGAUCGAGUGACCAUCAAGUGCAAAGCCAGCUCCAGCCUUACUUACUCAGGAAAUGAAUACUUAGCCUGGUACCAGCAGAGACCUGGACAAGCUCCAAAGCUCCUCAUCUAUGGUGCUUCCACACGGCAGUUGGGAGUGCCAGCCCGGUUCAGCGGCAGUGGCUCUGGCACCGAUUUCACUCUCACCAUCAGCAGUGAUGAAGCUGAAGAUGCUGGAGGUUAUUAUUGUCACCAGACCCACAGUGCUACUCACCCAGUGAUACAAACCCAUACAAAAACCUGCCAUGCUGCCCAGCCUAGCACCACAGCUGCUUCCUGA
Non-coding RNA from Alligator mississippiensis (American alligator), 426 nucleotides. NCBI's taxonomy places the organism in Eukaryota, Metazoa, Chordata, Crocodylia, Alligatoridae. The record is from the annotation of a RefSeq genome assembly.